This 512-nucleotide ribosomal RNA is filed under the name uncultured bacterium. RNAcentral describes it as "partial 16S ribosomal RNA". It matches the Rfam family "Bacterial small subunit ribosomal RNA", at positions 28 to 507 of the family's 1533-position model. The record is from RNAcentral.
GAUGAACGCUGGCGGCGUGCCUAAUACAUGCAAGUCGAACGAAACUUCUUUAUCACCGAGUGCUUGCACUCACCGAUAAAGAGUUGAGUGGCGAACGGGUGAGUAACACGUGGGCAACCUGCCCAAAAGAGGGGGAUAACACUUGGAAACAGGUGCUAAUACCGCAUAACCAUAGUUACCGCAUGGUAACUAUGUAAAAGGUGGCUAUACUACCGCUUUUGGAUGGGCCCGCGGCGCAUUAGCUAGUUGGUAGGGUAAAGGCUUACCAAGGCAAUGAUGCGUAGCCGAAUUGAGAGGUUGAUCGGCCACAUUGGGACUUAGACACGGCCCAAACUCCUACGGGAGGCAGCAGUAGGGAAUCUUCCACAAUGGGCGAAAGCCUGAUGGAGCAACGCCGCGUGGGUGAAGAAGGUCUUCGGAUCGUAAAAUCCUGUUGUUAGAGAAGAAAGUGCGUGAGAGUAACUGUUCACGUUUCGACGGUAUCUAACCAGAAAGCCACGGCUAACUACGUG